RNAcentral lists this long non-coding RNA (209 nucleotides) under Phoenix dactylifera (date palm). RNAcentral describes it as "long non-coding RNA (PDAC_LNC019965)". Lineage: Eukaryota; Viridiplantae; Streptophyta; Magnoliopsida; Arecales; Arecaceae. The record is from RNAcentral.
CCACGGAUAAACCCAGCAUCCCAACCGUUCUUCUUCACAGAUUCACUCGUAUCCCAGCAGUUCCAACGUCUUCCCAUUCUCCAGCGUCCGGAUGUUCCAUGAUUCAAACUUCCAUAGCCAGCCUUUAUCCCGUAUCAAGCCGUUCACAGCUUUAAAUCCUCUGUUACAGCCAAAUCCAGCCAUUCCCGAGCUUCUUCUCAUUCCGGAUU